UGCUUUUUUCUCACCUCUCCAGCUUCAGUCUUGACGGUGACCUUCCCUGUUUCCCUGCUUUGGAUUGUCCCUUUCACAAAGGAUUCCUUUGGAUGUGCCACAAAGACAGAUGACUUGGCAUCAAAAGGCUUGUUCUGGGCCUCAAUUCUUUCCUUCUCUGACUUUCGGAGGUAGGGAGCUGCCUCUCCAAAGACAGCCAUCUCAGCAUCUGAAGAAGCCAUGGCUGCUCUUCACUGAAGGCACCUCAGCAGAAUCUUCUAAUGGGGAGAAGUAAUGUGGCACAUAUCAUUUAGAUAUAUUCUGUCAGACUGGGAGACUGACUGUGACUUUGUUUUUCUUCAGCCUGUACUAUAUGGAGUAUCUAACGUGUCCUAAUGGAAGAUUUGAUUGACUUAGGUUGACUUAGGAAACAAGAGCUCAUAACUGAUGAAGUCUAUGUGUUCAGACGUCUAGAAGAGCUGUAUCUGAUCACCUUUAACAAUUGUAGGCUUGGGGCUUUAAGAACAUCAUGUCUGUAAGAUGAGUGAAGUUGCUGAGCAAGUUUUAUUUUAAGACAUCAUUACCAGCAGUUGAAAUAAAGGUGAAGCAUUUUGUUUAAAGACAAAGAAACACUUCUAUAAACAUGUAGUAUAAAAGACCUACAGUCUUGAAAAACAUUGAACCUAUGGGGCAUUUACUUAUUAACUAUAAUUGUAGUAGGAAGGCAGUGGAAAUUAAUGAAUUUUGCUACUGAAGUUGCCAGCAGAAAGAAAAGGGCAGGAUCUAUGACCUUUUAACACUCUGCUGUAAUUCAGUUUGUUUAGACAUUUGUCAUUCAUGAGUACAAUAUCCAAAUAGUCUCAUCUUCAAAGUUCUGACUUGUAUGAAACAAAAUUCAUGCACUGAAAUUGGAAUUGCCAUAGCUGGACAAAGCUCCCAAAUAAAUACUGAAAAAAUCCAGGAACAGGUGACUUCUCAAAACUUCAAUAAAAUAAGAGUGCUUCUUCAGAUGCUUCACUAAAAAUGUGGAUAUCUAGAUUUCUCCAGCUGCACUUGAAAUUUCUCUAGCUAUGUUAGUGAAAUUUAUUCCCUCUGUUCAUUAGCUAAGAAGGUUUUGUUUUGCUUUUGGUCUGGUAAAUGGAUAUUUGAAAGAGCUUCAACAUUUUACAAAGAUGUACAAAGAUGGUAAGAAGGUCGGUAUUGUCCGAUGAGUUGUUGAUAACAUGUUGAUGAAAAAUAUACAGUUUUGCACUUUUUCCUCCUUUGUUCAUCUUAUUCCAGUUCUAUUGCUGCAAUGAUAUGAAGCUGGCACGCCUCACUCCCUGUUUGGUCAGUUAAGCAGAAAUGAAGAGUAUUCCAAUGGGAAUUUUCUGGUCUGCCAUCAGAGACAGGAAGAUAGAAACACAACCAUUUGAAAACCUCACCAGCCAUGAGCACCCACCAGCUGCCUACUGUAAUCACACUGGCUUUGAAUGCAGGGUAAAAAAGGCGAUUGCUCAUCCAUACAGAAAUCCCACCCAAAAGCAUGAAUAAAUCAGGUUCUUACCUCUCGUGAUACCAGAUGGGUGGCUCACAGCCUGGCGGCUGGUCAGUGCUGCAAAACAGAAAUGGCAAGUUCCUACUUGGCACAGAAUUCCAGAGUGAAAAUGUGCAGGUAUCUUGAAAGCAGAUUUAAAACUCGAGCUGAGGAAUUGAGCUUCCUCCUGGAAACGAGCACUGGAGGCAGAGGAAUGGUGUAACACAGAAAGACUCCUGCAUGGCUGCGGACCCCAUCCACUUACCUUGGAGCUUUCCGUGGAGACAGGGCACUCUUGCUGCAGGGACAUUUUAUACGAUCUCAUCUGCAGAUGCUACAGAUGCCUACUCUUUCUUCGGUCAAAAAAUUUUUGGCAAGCCUUCUUUGGUAAAGCAUUGUCUGGCAAACUGAACUAAGGGCAUAAUUGUCAUUUGACAUGACUAGAUAUAAUUAGAAAAUUUUGAUGUCUUACGGACUAUAUGAAUACAUCUCCUAUAAACAAUUUGACAAGGGUGUUAAGGAGGGAAUCUGGACUAGUCAAGGCACUUAGAGAACUUGGAUGCAGGACUUAUGGAUUCUAUUGCUGGCUUUCCCACCGACUCACUGUAUGACCCAGAGUGGAUUGCUUGGUCUGGACUCUUCUGGGACAAGAAGCAAAGCACAGCAGGUAAAGGAGCAGAAGCAGACAGAAGGCCAUCUCUGGAUACAGACUGUCCUGUGCAGCAGCGCUGCGAGGCAACGCUCAUAUUCUCCAUGGUGGAGAGGGGUUCAGGCAUGCUGAAAAUAGAUCCCUCUUGAGGUGGAGAUCAGGCAGCUGCUUCCUUGUCUACUACCUUUUCAGAUGUGGGUUUUCUUCUCCUGAGUUGUGAGAGACAAAGAAUGAGAGGAUGAUUUUUAGCAGGGUGUCAGAAUGAGAACAAAGUGAGAAAGUGGAAGAACCUGUAUGUUGGUUAGUGGGAAACUCCCUCACAUGUGCGUUCAGUGUGGUAGAGGUCAUGAGCUGGAAACACACCAGUGUACUUGUAUGACAGCAGGUUUCGCAGCGUGGAAAGGAAUCUCUUACUGGUGAUCCUCAGCCUUUUCCCCUGAGAACUACUCUCCAGCCCUCUGCUCCUCUGACUAGAACAGAGUGCUGUGCCAGAGGAAGGGAGGGAAAACAUGGUUACAAAUCUCUGACAUCUUAGGGGCUGUAGACAGCCAUCACUGUCCUGUGCUCAUCUGGACAAAGAAAUUCUCCAUAUUUUUCUAAGUCAAAAUGCAUAUUAAAUACUUGUCCAAACAAAUUCCACUAUGGCAAAUGUACUGCUGGAAACUGCCUGUUUCCACUUAGAAGCAGUGCGCUGGUACAAGCUUCAACUAUUUCAAACCUGUAAAAAGGUUUUAUUAGCCUUACUAACUUUAACCUUAUUGAGUCAGUCUCGCUUGUUUCUUCUUUCCCAUCAACUUUUCAAAAACAAAGGCUUCCUGGGGAUUUUCUUUUUCCUUGUAGAAUGGAAUUUGGUUGAAAGGAAUUCAAGGAGCCAACUCAAACAAUGACACAAAAUUCAACUUUGUCCAAUUUGUGAAUGACACUAAAUUAGGCAGAUGACAAAUGACAGAGCUUAAUUCCAGAUACAUUAAGAGACAUGAGGACUGGAUCAACACAAAUGUUAUGAAGAUCAGUGUGGACAAGUGGAAAGCUCACAGCUGGGAGAAAAAUAGCCUGAGGUGUCAGUAUGAGCUGGGAACUGACCAGUUCAGCAGGAGCCCUGCUAGAAAGGACUUGGGAGUUAAGAUGGGUGCCCAGAAGGAUAAUGAGUGCUCUCACUGGAAACAAGGCAAAGAUACUGGAUGAUGCUCUGAGCACGUUCAGUUGACUAUCAGAAGCUAAAAUCCCUUUUGUUUGGUAUGACUGAGUUGUCAUCUGAAAUGGUUUGUCCACUGUGGGGCUCUCCUGUUCAAAAAGGAUAUGAACUAAAAUGAUGAAGAUGGUCUAGGGUCUCAAAAAGUAGUCCUACAAAGAGACUUCCAGGGUUUUUAAUGUUAGGAGAAAAGGACUAAGUUCCAUGUAGGGCAGUUAAAAAUACAAUGUUCUAAACUUUUCCAAUUAGUAGUAGGCAAUGUAACAAGGGACACUGAUCAAAAAUCACAACUUGAGAGGCACUAGUUAGUCAUUAGGAAAACUCUUCACAAAUGUCUGUACGGAGUGAGAUCAAAGGAUUGCAUAAUCUGUCACUCCUGAGAUAUUUCUCACCAUCCCAGUGGUGAAGACUUCUGAACUACAAACCCCCUCAAGCUGGUGAAAGACAUGUGACUAAAGCAAAAACAAGCCACAGAUGGGAAAUUGUACUGAAAACAGUACAAUCUGUGUCACUGCCAGUAAUGGGAGACAGAAGCAUAAGCACUUUCCUGCUAUCUCUGUGUGAAGCCUAAGAAACCUUUAACCUUCUCAGCUUUCAGUAACUUGUCCAUGUGUCUACGCCACACAGAGUCUGUAAUGCUCGCAGGAUAGAUAGGGCAGACAUCUCCUUUAACAGGGAUCCCCUUACACCCCUUGUUAUUGAGCCCUGGAAGGCUGGAGAGAGCUCAGAGCUGCUCGACUUCUGCUCAGAUACCCAUGACUCCAGCAUGGUUCUGUGCAAGGCAGCAGAUCCAUAUUCUCACUGUGAAUUUCAGACAACGUGGGAGUAUAAAACAAGGUAUCUUUCCAAGACAACUUCUCUUAAAAACCCCAUCUUAUAUUUGAACAAAAAUUGCAAAUUGGGAUUAAACAAUACUAGGAAACUGUCACAACAGCAAGGUCCCCCUGCCCAGUCCCCCUCUAGGGAAAGCAGACACAAAAGAAGCAAAAUUUUGUUAUAUAUAUUAGCGUAUUUCUGCAACUAUCAUCCUCUCCAAAAGCAAGAGUGGUUUGAGGGUCUGGAGUUCCUUCCUGUGUUCUUAUUCACCACUGGACUGCUUCAGAGCGAAAUACAGAAACUCACCAAGUUCCCUGCUGCCCUACAUGCCCAGCUGUAAUGUGAUCUGUGCAGUUAAAUGAGAUAAUCUGAUAUUAAGGCAGACGAACUAAGAGGCAAGGGGAUCAAAGAAGAUUGCUUUAUCAGCCUCUUAGGGGCUUGCAAUGGAUUUUACAGGAACACAGUCUCAUACCUUCUUUUAGUUCAUGGCAAUAAAAGAAAGAACAAAUUAGAGGGAUUUCUCAAUCACUGAUGUUUGACCAAGAGAAGGAUUCUAUUCCCCCUUUGGCUUUGGAGCAAAGCAGUAGAACUACAGCCCCCCUCCCCUCCCCUUCCCUCCCCUGCCUCCCCAUCUCCUGUCUGCUCUUCUUGGAAGAAACUGGAGAGAGGUUUUGUAUGUGACAUCAGUGAUAUUUUUACUUUGGGAAAGGCAGCAAUAUCACCAAGACACAGCUGCAACCGUUUCUUUGCCCCCCCUCCCUUCCACCCCCACUGAGUUCAGUAGCAAAUCUCUUAAGAGGCACAAAGGGCACAAAUGCCAAGAAAUGUGUCCUCCAUUAUGCCACGUGCAUCUGCUGAAUCCGAGACUUAUUUUAGGAGGAAUUAACAUGUAUUCCUUCAGAAUUUCAAGAGGAAGAACACCCUGCUUAGUCACCAACAUGAAAGAAACUGCACAGCAAGCUGAUUCAGAACACCAGCUUCACUUAACAUUUAGCGAACAUUUAGUUAACACUUUAACAUUUAGGUUGUUUGACAAGACUUCCUUAAGUUCUACAGCACUGUGAUGCUUCCUAAUCAAAGGCAAUCCGAUGCUGUCUCAAGCUAUCUUCUCCCUGGCAUUGUUACCUGUUACUUGAUUGACAGUACCUGAGUAAGUAUUUUUUACCAGUUUAGAUGCCAGGUGUUAAUCUGCUCCUGCAGAGGAGGUCAAAGUUACUGAGCUGAAGAAGAGGAAUAUGGACAGACUAUUGGCUUUCCAGGCUUGCAGCUGGUAGGAUAGAUGUGGAAAAGCUGUAACUGGUUUCAGGGAGCAGCUAUUUAGCAGUGCCCACUGCUCCAGUGUGCUUUCCCAUAGUAGAUCACCGUAGAUCACUUUGCUGUGAUAAUUAUUUGAUUAUUAUCCUCUGAUCCAGAAAAGAGCUGAGUAUAGCAAUCUUUUUCUUAAAUAGUACACUUUCCUUCCUCCCUUCUCUUAGAUAGUAUCCCUCCUUCCUUCCUGCCUGCCUUCCUGCCUGCCUCCCUCCCUCCCUCUCUUUGUUUUCUGCAAGACUUCUGAGAAUUUUAUUCCCAAAUAACUUGCUUUGCUGGCUGCUGUACAGAACUUACCCUCAGCCCACUUGAGAGGAUGGGGAAAGCAGCUGUUUGCCCCUUUCCCACAGUGAGUACACAGCACCUGCAGAGAGAGCCUCAUAAAUUUGAGAAUAUACAGCCAUCCACAUCACCUUAGAACAAAGGACUGGCAGGUACUCUGUAAGGAGAGUAUAUAAGAUAACUGGUGAAAAUGCAUUUUCACAUUUUCCAAAGUAUUUACAAUUUUAUGAAAGCAUAUAAUCUUCCCACCUGAUCAUUCCUUUUCCAAAGUGAAGAAUCAUAGUCACUGUCUCUCCAAUGUUCCCAUCAGCGUUGACAUCUUUCUACAUAACCUUUCUACUUGCACAGGCCAGAGCUGUGGAGAGCACAUGGUUUGUGAGCCUGGCACAAUGAUUUCUGUUUUGUUCUCAAUUGAUCCUGAUCAUUCCUAAUGAUCAGGCCUUUUGUGGCCACCAUCAAGCACUGACUUGACAUUUGGAGACAAUUACUUGCUGUCUGGUAGCCUCUUAACCCCAUUUACUUGCUGUCUGGUACCUCUUAACCCCAAUUCUCCUUUCAGAGACUGGAUUUCUGUAGGGUUUGGCCUAUACAGCUCAGAGGCACCGAAUAGGCAGAGGAGCUGACCUUUGGUUGCAGCCACACAAAGGGUUUUUUUGGCUGGUGUUGCACGGCCUGCCUUACAAGGAUGAUGUGGUAAGCAGCUUUCAGCAACAUGACAGUGCGUGAGACUCAAGCAGCUCAAAGCAGCAAGCAGAGCUGCAGAGAGACAGGUAAAGAGGCCACCUGUUGUGUAGGGAUGACCAGCUGUAAGCUAUCAGAGGUGCACCAUUACUCAGGCUCUUCAUGCAAACAUCAGCGGAAGAAAUCUGGGCAGCAGCCACUGCCAAGGAGGUGACAUUCAGGAUGCCCUUUCUGUCACCCACCAAAGCAGCUGAGGGGCUCCAGUUACAGAGCAGGGGAGUGGGGUGGGCAGGCUAUGAGGCCUCCGGGAAAGACAGAGAAGAAAGAGAGCAAGUGGCAAAAGGGGGAGGGAAGGAAAAUUAGGAUUAGGUGCAUAAUAUUAGAACUAGCAACAACUGCAUCCUAAAAAAGAGAGCAAUGAAGUGAUAUCUUCCUUUGCUGACACUCAUCUUAGACAGAUGCACAAAUCCCACUUCUGGGCAGGUUUCAGUGCUGUAAGUGGAAAUGUACUGAUACUGGAAUUUGUAUAAUCCUGUUCUCUUUAAAUGUUAGACUUUUCAAGGUUAGAACACUGUAAGAUCUUCUGAGUGCCAUGGUCACAGCAGCGCAGUUACCUAUUUAGCAGAAUAUUUUCUAAACUAACUUCCUAUGUUGCAAAAAAGUUCCUUUUGCAUCUUCAGGAAAUUUGCCAACAGACUCAUUUUAUUCAUGGUGAUCAACAUAAACAUUUCCUUAACUGCUCUCUGUAUCCACCUGACAGACACAGGGAAGCAUACACGUUUCUGCUCCCUCUGGACUGCAAAUUAGCUGCGCAAAGCAGACCAGCUCCGUCAGAAGACAGUGAUGGUGAUGUGCCACCAGACAGCCAGCAGCCAGGGUGCCCCCAUGUGAGCAGCUGGUGAUGAGCAGCUGGGGGGGUCUGGCAAUGCUUACAUUCUCCGUUCUGUGGUAAUUACCUGCUCACCUCACUUUAAGUCUUCUAAGGACAGAUGUUUCUCUUCGAGUGUUUUGUCACAAAGUGCUUGAGAAGGUCUGAGUUUAUGCCAAAGGAGAAGCGAAUACUGAGCCCAAAGGAAGAGAGAAAGUUGUUUAACAUCUCAGACAGGACCAUGGCCUGAGAAAACGUAUCCCAAAUCUGCCGCAUAGAAUCAGAGAACCACAGAAUGGCCUGGGUUGACAAGGACCUCAAGGAUCAUCUAAUUUCAACCCUCUUGCCAUUGGCAGGGUCACCAACCAACAGACCAGGCUGCCCAGAGCAUCUCAAGGUGCAGUGCCAAAUUCACUCAAUUACCGCUUUGUCGAACAUUACAGGUGUAUGUUCCCUUCCUUCCAAGUUAGUCCCUCAGAUUCCUCAAAGUGCCCUGCUGCUGCAGUUGACCAAUGCCUUCCCAGUUUUAGGGUCUCAAAGCAGAGCCAUCCCCUGACCCUGCACUGCUCUCUGCCUCGUGUAUUUGCUAAGCCUGCAGCUUGCCCCUUGGUGCUUCAGUUCCAAACCCUCCAUGUACACUGAACUGUAUUUCUCCAAGCAGCACUGUGCGGACCUCAGGGAGCUGCUGGCAUGUGGAGAUGGUGGUGCCCACUCUGCUGGAGCUGUAAGAGCAGUGCUCUGAAGCCUUAACAGCAAAACUUGUGUCCUGUGUGAUUUCCUUCUCUACUGGGGCUCCUUACUGUGAACUACUGAACGUGGCUUUACUGAUAGAGUGUCUGAAGGGAAAUGUUUUCAACCAUCUGUUCUGCUAGAACUGAACUGCUACUGUUGUGCUCAGGAGGUCUCCUGCAGUCCACACAGUCCACACAGGACAGCAGUUCUAUAUAAGCCCAUCAGCUGCAUCUAUUUUAAACUUUCUCUCAGAGGUCCUUGUUUAUGGCCACUAUGAACUGAUGUUUUUCUCAAGACCUUUGCACAAGCCCUGGUCAGAUGACAGGCAUCCUGACUCCACAAAUAGAGUGAGAAUGCAAAAUGACCCUCGUUCUCCAUAAGGCAGUGAGCAAUACAUCUUCCAUUUCCCUCACAUCAGUGUCCCACUUUGGUCCUGAUCAUACAGCAGGCUUUAUAGCAGUGUCUGUCUUUUUUUUUUCCCAGCCUCUGCUCCUCCUGCACACAUCCUCCUUGGCUCAGAUCACUGAUUUGGUCCUUUCCCCAUUACAUACCUAAACUCUCCUUCCUGGCAUCCCUCAAAGCUGCUCAGCCUCUGCUCCAUUCUCCUCCUCCGCUGUGUUUGUUGUUUUUCUUCUCAUCCUAUUCUUCAACUGCCAAAAAACCCACAUGCAAAGGAGGUAGCCACAAGCUGGGCUUCCUCUUCACUCCACAUGGCCUAGGCAAGCCAAAUGGUCAGACACCCAUGGGUUAGAUGGUCAUAUGCACAUAAUCAUUUUAGUGCUUACCAAUAAUUUAUCUUCCUGUUUCCUCUGACCAUUCUUCCCUCAACCUGAUGCUCACUUGUCGUUUCUCCCACUCCCACAUCCUCCACCAUCUUCUCGCUCUGCCCUCUUCCUCCACACACUCACGUCUUGCUCUCCCUGUCCUCGUCUCCUCCCUGCUCUCCCCAGCACAAUUUCAAACUCCCAUCAGCACUUCAGCACUGUGGUUACUCAUACUUUGUCUCUCUUGUUUUCCAGUUUAUUAAUUUUUUUCAACAAGAGCCACAUUACGGUGCA
Long non-coding RNA from Lagopus leucura (white-tailed ptarmigan), 9081 nucleotides. RefSeq lists it as uncharacterized. Lineage: Eukaryota; Metazoa; Chordata; Aves; Galliformes; Phasianidae. The record is from RefSeq and is a predicted model, not a curated record. The transcript is spliced from 3 exons.